UUGGAGGGCAAGUCUGGUGCCAGCAGCCGCGGUAAUUCCAGCUCCAAUAGCGUAUAUUAAAGUUGUUGCAGUUAAAAAGCUCGUAGUUGAAUUUCGGGGUUCUACCGUUGGUCGGGCUUUGUCUGUACUGGUGUGUAGAAUUUCUACCUUCUGGGGAACCAUCAUGCUAUUAAUUUAGCGUGGUGGGAAACCAGGACCUUUACCUUGAAAAAAUUAGUGUGUUCAAAGCAGGCUUAUGUCUGAAUACAUUAGCGUGGAAUAAUAGAAUAGGACGGUGGUCCUGUUUUGUUGGUUUCUGAAUCACCGUAAUGAUUAAUAGGGAUAGUUGGGGGCAUUAGUAUUCAAUUGUCAGAGGUGAAAUUCUUGGAUUUAUUGAAGACUAACUUCUGCGAAAGCAUUUGCCAAGGAUGUUUUCAUUAACCAAGAACGAAAGUUAGGGGAUCGAAGACGAUCAGAUACCGUCGUAGUCUUAACCAUAAACUAUGCCGACUAGGGAUCGGACGAUGUUAAUUUUUCUUGACUCGUUCGGCGCCUUACGGGAAAC
RNAcentral lists this ribosomal RNA (544 nucleotides) under uncultured Glomeromycotina. RNAcentral's name for it is "SSU rRNA". It matches the Rfam family "Eukaryotic small subunit ribosomal RNA", at positions 548 to 1098 of the family's 1831-position model. Lineage: Eukaryota; Fungi; Glomeromycota. The record is from RNAcentral.